This 239-nucleotide unclassified non-coding RNA is filed under the name Hevea brasiliensis (rubber tree). Lineage: Eukaryota; Viridiplantae; Streptophyta; Magnoliopsida; Malpighiales; Euphorbiaceae. The record is from RNAcentral.
UAUAUCUUUUGGACAGCAUUGUCAAGAACAUUGGCCGUGAAUAUAUUGGGUACUUCUCAUCACGUUUGCCUGAGGUUUUCUGUGAGGCAUACAGACAAAUUCACCCUAACCUGUAUCAUUCAAUGCAUCACCUCUUUGGAACAUGGUCUACAGUGUUUCCACCUUCUGUGCUUAGCAAGUUUGAGACUCAACUGCAAUUUUCUACACAAGUUAAUAGUCAAUCCUCUGGCUUGUCUUCC